This 492-nucleotide ribosomal RNA is filed under the name uncultured bacterium. RNAcentral's name for it is "partial 16S ribosomal RNA". It matches the Rfam family "Bacterial small subunit ribosomal RNA", at positions 29 to 507 of the family's 1533-position model. The record is from RNAcentral.
AGUGAACGCUGGCGGUAGGCCUAACACAUGCAAGUCGAACGGCAGCACAGUAAGAGCUUGCUCUUACGGGUGGCGAGUGGCGGACGGGUGAGGAAUACAUCGGAAUCUACUUUUUCGUGGGGGAUAACGUAGGGAUACUUACGCUAAUACCGCAUACGACCUACGGGUGAAAGCAGGGGCUCUUCGGUCCUUGCGCGAUUGAAUGAGCCGAUGUCGGAUUAGUUAUUUGGCGGGGUAAAGGCCGACCAAGGCGACGCUCCGUAGCUGGUCUGAGAGGAUGAUCAGCCACACUGGAACUGAGACACGGUCCAGACUGCUACGGGAAGAAGCAGUAGGGAAUAUUGGACAAUGGGCGCAAGCCUGAUCCAGCAAUACCGCGUGGGUGAAGAAGGCCUUCGGGUUGUAAAGCCCUUUUGUUGGGAAAGAAGAGCAGCAGGUUAAUACCCCGCUGUUCUGACGGUACCCAAAGAAUAAGCACCGGCUAACUUCGUG